This 215-nucleotide non-coding RNA is filed under the name Rhodobacter sp. The record is from RNAcentral. Lineage: Bacteria; Pseudomonadati; Pseudomonadota; Alphaproteobacteria; Rhodobacterales.
UUAGCUGAGGGCCUGUUUGGUGCCCACCAAUGCGCAAAGCGCAGGGCUCAAUCGGGAACGGGGAAGGGCGGACCCAAUGCGGCGCCCGAAGCCCCGGCCGCCCCCGCGACUGUAUGCGGCGAGCGCCCUUCACUGGCCACUGGGCAGGCGCCCGGGAAGGCGAAGAGGUGCAGCGACCCGCGAGCCAGGAGACCGGCCGACAGCCAUUUCAACCG